GAGCCCCUGGAGCCCGGGACGGAGCGUUCACAGCGCCCCCUGGCGCCUCGGAGGCCGGGGGGGGGGCGGGUUCUGGCUCAGACUGGUUCUCUGCAGCUGAUAGCCUGGCGGAGAGAGUAAGGGAGUUUGGGAGCUGCUCUCAGCAUCGCAGCCCCUGGCGCAGGCGCUCUCCGGAAGGUGCAGGAAGAACAUGGCGGGGCUCCCUGGGAGGCCACAGUCUCGGGGAAGGAGGAAGACAAACAAGAAAUAAGACAGUGUCCUCACAGUGUGCCACAUCCAGGGCUGGAAGACAUAGGGGGCUAUGGUACCUUGGAGGAAGGGCGGUUCACCUAGCCUCUGGGGUCAAAGACAGCCUCUCCCAGGAGGAUCCUCUCCUCCCAUGAAAAGACGACCUUCAAUCUGUCAAUGCUCUGAAAAUUCUCAAAGUGGUCCAAAAGUGGUUUUCCCUGCAGGGAUGGGACUGGUUGCUACGGGCAUGGGAGCCUCACCUUUGGGCCUGAUCUUCUGGAAAUUGGAGCCUACACUAGAAGCCUGCCCAGCAGACUCACAGGCGGCAGUGAUGUUUCUGCAAGAACUGUCUUCUUUGUUCUCAGGUGCCUGGACAAAAUGUUUGCAUUUCUUUCUUGUGCCAUAAGUGUUCCUGCUUCAGUCCCCAGGCACCUGCUGUGGGCCCCUCGGGUGCUAACUGGUGUCUUGCUGUUCUGGGAGCGCGGCAUUGUCAGGCCUCAGUAGGCCCUAGGAUAACACUUAACACUGCUGGCUGGUGGCCAUCAGCCUCCUAGAGAAAUCCCCUGUCACAGCAGAUGGUAUCUACGAGGUUUAAGGGGCAAGAGAGACCCGGAGACCCUGGAAGAGCUUCUCCUGUGCACUGGGACUGGCUAGUUGUGAGCUAGUCUUGGUGGUUGUCAUGAUGCAGAAGUUAGGGAGGAAAGCUCCAGAGCUGUCACUGAGGUCCCUGGGGCCUGAAAUGGAACGAUCAGAAUUCCCAAGGCUUCCACAACAGCCUGGAAGCCAUGGCUUAGAAAGAGAGAUGUCGGGGUUCCCACGGCUAGGACCGAGGUGGAGGUGACCGCGCAUGGACUUUCAGAGGAGGCUGGGCCUUUUGCUCACAGCCCUCAGCGCGGGGCUACUGCUGCUUUUCAGCUGGGUGACGCUUGCUCAGCCCAUCUCUCUUUCAGGUACAGCGCUCUCCUCUCCACUC
Long non-coding RNA from Panthera uncia (snow leopard), 1201 nucleotides. RefSeq lists it as uncharacterized. The transcript is spliced from 3 exons. The record is from RefSeq and is a predicted model, not a curated record. NCBI's taxonomy places the organism in Eukaryota, Metazoa, Chordata, Mammalia, Carnivora, Felidae.